RNAcentral lists this transfer RNA (61 nucleotides) under Macridiscus melanaegis. RNAcentral describes it as "tRNA-Glu". The record is from RNAcentral. Lineage: Eukaryota; Metazoa; Mollusca; Bivalvia; Venerida; Veneridae.
UUCUUAUAGUGUAAUAAAACACGUCGGUCUUUCACACUGGAGAUGGAUUAGUCCUAAGGGC